RNAcentral lists this unclassified non-coding RNA (269 nucleotides) under Hevea brasiliensis (rubber tree). The record is from RNAcentral. Lineage: Eukaryota; Viridiplantae; Streptophyta; Magnoliopsida; Malpighiales; Euphorbiaceae.
GGCCAUUGGAUUGGUUUGAUCCACCUGCUGCACAGUCAGUGCUGGAACAUUUUUCUAGUCCUUCAACUUGGUAUGUGAUCUCCUCAAAUCGGCCGUGUGCAUUGGCACAUCCUUGCUUAGUACACUGAAGAACUUGCAAGUUCUUUGCUCCUGGACUAUUUGAUGACAUGUAAUCCAAUAGGUGACCGUAUGAAGAGCAAUUGUGACAGAAAGUUGCAUCUGUACCCUGCGGACUUUCCACUUUCCCCUGUCCCCUCUUCCAUUCAGGC